RNAcentral lists this ribosomal RNA (468 nucleotides) under uncultured bacterium. RNAcentral describes it as "partial 16S ribosomal RNA". It matches the Rfam family "Bacterial small subunit ribosomal RNA", at positions 28 to 507 of the family's 1533-position model. The record is from RNAcentral.
GACGAACGCUGGCGGCGUGCUUAACACAUGCAAGUCGAACGGAAAGGCCCUGCUUUUGUGGGGUGCUCGAGUGGCGAACGGGUGAGUAACACGUGAGUAACCUGCCCUUGACUUUGGGAUAACUUCAGGAAACUGGGGCUAAUACCGGAUAGGAGCUCCUGCUGCAUGGUGGGGGUUGGAAAGUUUCGGCGGUUGGGGAUGGACUCGCGGCUUAUCAGCUUGUUGGUGGGGUAGUGGCUUACCAAGGCUUUGACGGGUAGCCGGCCUGAGAGGGUGACCGGCGACAUUGGGACUGAGAUACGGCCCAGACUCCUACAGGAGGCAGCAGUGGGGAAUAUUGCACAAUGGGCGGAAGCCUGAGGCAGCAACGCCGCGUGCGGGAUGACGGCCUUCGGGUUGUAAACCGCUUUCGCCUGUGACGAAGCGUGAGUGACGGUAAUGGGUAAAGAAGCACCGGCUAACUACGUG